GAUGAACGCUGACAGAAUGCUUAACACAUGCAAGUCAACUUGAACUUCGGUUUGGGUGGCGGACGGGUGAGUAACGCGUAAAGAACUUGCCUCACAGUUAGGGACAACAUUUGGAAACGAAUGCUAAUACCUGAUAUUAUGAUUUUAGGGCAUCCUAGAAUUAUGAAAGCUAUAUGCGCUGUGAGAGAGCUUUGCGUCCCAUUAGCUAGUUGGAGAGGUAACGGCUCACCAAGGCGAUGAUGGGUAGCCGGCCUGAGAGGGUGAACGGCCACAAGGGGACUGAGACACGCCCCGUACUCAUACGGGAGGCAGGAGUGAGGAAUAUUGGACACGGAACCAAGAGUCUGAUCAAGCAAUUAUGUGUGCACGAUGAAGUUUUUCGGAAUGUAAAGUGCUUUCAGUUCGGGAGAAAAAAAUGACGAUACCAACAGAAGAAGUGACGGCUAAAUACGUG
RNAcentral lists this ribosomal RNA (454 nucleotides) under uncultured bacterium. RNAcentral describes it as "partial 16S ribosomal RNA". It matches the Rfam family "Bacterial small subunit ribosomal RNA", at positions 28 to 507 of the family's 1533-position model. The record is from RNAcentral.